RNAcentral lists this ribosomal RNA (292 nucleotides) under uncultured bacterium. RNAcentral describes it as "partial 16S ribosomal RNA". The record is from RNAcentral.
GGACUACUCGGGUAUCUAAUCCUGUUUGCUCCCCUAGCUUUCGCGUCUCAGCGUCAGGUCUAAGCUAGAAAACCGCUUUCGCUACUGGUGUUCUUCCACAUAUCUACGCAUUUCACCGCUACAUGUGGAAUUCCGUUUUCUCCGCCUACCCUCUAGAAAAGAAGUUUCAGAUGCCUUUCCGGAGUUGAGCUCCGGGCUUUCACGUCUGACUUUCUCUCCCGCCUACACGCCCUUUACGCCCAAUAAAUCCGAUUAACGCUUGCACCCUCCGUAUUACCGCGGCGGCUGGCAC